UGCCUGUUCGCAGUGUGUCUCCGGGUGCACUUCUGGAAAGCCACACAAGGAUGUGCACACUCAAGGUUGUUGUGCAAGGACUCGGACUCUGAUACGCAGACCUGUCUGGGCAGGGCUCCGAAGGCAUUCUGGGGUACGGUCCCUGAGCAAGGAGUGGAUCCAGCGUGCAAGGUUGAACAUGGGAACCAAAGAGGCGGGGCAUCUACUGAGAACAGAUUCUCCUUGAGUGCUGGGAUGCUGUGGAGGUGGUGUGGCAUUCCCAGAACCACCCACUCCAGGCCUGGAGGUGACCCCAGGUGCACAAUAAUAUUAAACACUACCCUGAAGCCAGGCUAUUCUGAAGAGGGACAGGGACCCACUAUCUCCUCAGAGAAAUUCAUCUACUUGAAAUCUUCAACCUAAUACUGAUCAAUGGAAUUGCUGAGUCAGAGACCAAAGAAAACUAACUUUCAUAUACGAGGUAGCAAAGGAAAAUGCAAAUAAAGACAAGUGUUUAAUUUUUGAACUCUAACCAAUAGCCCAUAUCUAGCAACAUAUCCAGCCUAUACAUUCAACGAGCAUUUUACAGCUGAGCAAUUCACAGUUGGUGUAAUAGAGCUAAAGGGACAUGCAAAUGUAAGCCAGCUUUGGCUUUGGCCCUCAUGGAGAUUAAAGUUGAAGGUAAAGAUAUACUUUCAGAGAAGUGACAAAUCAGAGACAAUGGGUCCACUCUGGAGUUUUAAAACAGCUUUCUAUACUACUUAAAAUAGCUUUAUAUAGAAAUUUUGCUGAUUGUCCCCACAACUGUGAGUUCUGCUGGACCAACUCUUGGUACUCAAGAAAGAAAGGAAAGCUUAAGCAGGGGAUGCAACCAUGUUUCCACUGAAUUUGAAGAAGAAACUGCCUCCUGGCACUUUGGGUUUUCAUGCUACUAAGCCAACAAGCAAAAGAAGUUAUUGGUCUGCUGCGUGUGCUGAUUUCUAUUAGGUAAGAACUAGAAUUAUAUAAUGGCAGUAAAGAGGGGUAUAUGGGGCUGGGGCUGGGAAUGGCGCUCAGGG
This is a long non-coding RNA of Chinchilla lanigera (long-tailed chinchilla), 1037 nucleotides long. NCBI's taxonomy places the organism in Eukaryota, Metazoa, Chordata, Mammalia, Rodentia, Chinchillidae. The record is from Ensembl.